CGCUGGGGAGGGGGAGCGCACCCAAUACUUCCUUCCCCACCUGCAGGGCUAUAGGGGCCUCAGUGGCCACUCACCUGCCGCCCCUCACCUGGGCCCGGCUUACCUGGGCUGGGGCCGCGGGGACGCCGCGGCAGGGGGCCUGGGCGCCGUCUCGGUCUUCGUCAGCCCGGCCCGGGGGGGGGCUCAGGGCGCCACAAUCAUGGGCCGGGAUACGAAAGGUGCCGCAAGGGGCUCAGUCGCCCCAAUCCUGGAGCUUUGAGAGGGCGCCACGAGGCUUCUUGCUGAGGACUGAACCAACACAACGCAUCUGAAGAGAGGAGGAAAGCAGCUGUUUGUAAUGCUCUGGUCCUUUUUCCUUGACACCUGGGGCUAAACCAUUCUUGCCAGCUCAAAGAGAGAAGACAUUCCUGGCUCUCUGGUCUGCAUUACAAUGGUCUUGUGGUACAGAACGAACCCCCACCCAGGGCCACUGGCAGACACAGGUCAAGUUAUUGCUGAUAAGAAAAACCAGGGGGUCCACCAGAACCCAAGACGCAUCAGACAGAAGAUGGCUCGGCAGCCCGGGAUGUACGGCAGCUGGAGGCGCUGGAUCAUUGACUCUCUCAAUACGUUUUUGGAGAACAUAUUCUGAAGUGAGAGACGCUGUGUUCCAGCGGGAGUGCUUAAUGAGCUCCCCAGUCCCCAGGUCGACAUACAACUCUGUCACUGUGGCCAGCAGGACACCACUGAGGAUGGGAAGUGCACUGUGAUCGCAGCGCCCAGGGAGAGAAACUGCUUCUCUGUGAGAGCGCAGAGCUGCUGAGCUGCUCGUACUGGGGCCGCUUUGAGCUGGAAAUUCCGUUUCUUGCAGCGGAAAGUGUGCCAACCCGAAUGAG
Lemur catta (Ring-tailed lemur) is the source of this 875-nucleotide long non-coding RNA. RefSeq lists it as uncharacterized. NCBI's taxonomy places the organism in Eukaryota, Metazoa, Chordata, Mammalia, Primates, Lemuridae. The record is from RefSeq and is a predicted model, not a curated record. The transcript has 3 exons.